GGUUGUGAUGUCUGUCACCCCACCCCACCCACCCCAGAUCGCCAGAAUGACUUGACUGCUCUGGCUGGCUGGGGUGCUGUGCUCUUCCUCCUUUAUCACUCCGUUAUCCCGUCUGCUUUCUCUGCAGUCAGAGAUCACUUUCCCCAGUAGGGAACCGGCCCUUAGUCAAGGGCAUACAGGUAACUGCUCCCCUGCUAGGACCUCCAAAUAAGCUCUCCAGAUGAUUGGCCUCACAGUGCUCUGGUG
This 246-nucleotide small RNA is filed under the name Microtus ochrogaster (prairie vole). Its description in RNAcentral is "7SK RNA (ENSMOCG00000005301.1)". It matches the Rfam family "7SK RNA", at positions 1 to 252 of the family's 331-position model. From Rfam's summary of the family: 7SK was discovered as an abundant small nuclear RNA in the mid-70s but a possible function has only recently been suggested. Two independent studies have found that 7SK RNA binds the CDK9/cyclin T complex (known as elongation factor P-TEFb). The record is from RNAcentral. Lineage: Eukaryota; Metazoa; Chordata; Mammalia; Rodentia; Cricetidae.